ACCAUCGAAUUUCUGAGAAAUUAAAAAUGACUGGGUUCUGGAUUUUAAUUUUGAUAUUCGGCAUUAUAUAUACAGUCCAAACUGGUAGACGCUGGGUUACUGCACAAUCCUUCAAAGAGUCACCAGUUUAUCAGCCUAAUAAAGAGCUCAUUGUGGAUAUCGGAGACUCGGCUACUCUGUGGUGUUGUAUUUCUGAAAAAGAAGCUGGAACACGAAUUGCCUGGUUUAAGCAACCCAAAGGAAAAAAACCUCAGAUUAUAGUAACAAUAUAUAAAACAGCUGGAGAAACAUUUUACAGUGAACCAUUUGCAUCACAGUUACAAAUAGGAAGAUAUUUAAACUGUUUUAAUAUGACCAUUUCAAGGGUCAUGACGUCUGAUGAAGCCAUGUACUACUGUGCACUGAUAACACCCAACAUUGUGUUUGCAGAUGGGACUUAUUUAAAACUUAAAGGUGAUCAUGUUACUACUGCACCAGAAACACAUAAACCAGUACUAAAUAAUAAUUCAGUGGUGUGUGAACCAACACUGCAGGGAAACAGCACUUAUAUGAACACACAUGAGAAAACAGGAGAAGAAAAUGUGAUAAGAUAAAUGCUUCUGUAGAAAACUUUACAGAAACAGGGCAGGAAACUGAAAUGGAAACACUGAACUAUGCAGCUUUGAAAUUUUCCAAGCAGAAAGCCACAGCUAAAAAAAUAAAAACUGUCUCAUUAAAUGAGUGUGUG
This is a non-coding RNA of Clarias gariepinus (North African catfish), 727 nucleotides long. The record is from the annotation of a RefSeq genome assembly. NCBI's taxonomy places the organism in Eukaryota, Metazoa, Chordata, Actinopteri, Siluriformes, Clariidae.